GGCGGCAGGCCUAACACAUGCAAGUCGAGCGGUAGAGAGAAGCUUGCUUCUCUUGAGAGCGGCGGACGGGUGAGUAAUGCCUAGGAAUCUGCCUGGUAGUGGGGGAUAACGUUCGGAAACGGACGCUAAUACCGCAUACGUCCUACGGGAGAAAGCAGGGGACCUUCGGGCCUUGCGCUAUCAGAUGAGCCUAGGUCGGAUUAGCUAGUUGGUGAGGUAAUGGCUCACCAAGGCGACGAUCCGUAACUGGUCUGAGAGGAUGAUCAGUCACACUGGAACUGAGACACGGUCCAGACUCCUACGGGAGGCAGCAGUGGGGAAUAUUGGACAAUGGGCGAAAGCCUGAUCCAGCCAUGCCGCGUGUGUGAAGAAGGUCUUCGGAUUGUAAAGCACUUUAAGUUGGGAGGAAGGGUUGUAGAUUAAUACUCUGCAAUUUUGACGUUACCGACAGAAUAAGCACCGGCUAACUCUGUGCCAGCAGCCGCGGUAAUACAGAGGGUGCAAGCGUUAAUCGGAAUUACUGGGCGUAAAGCGCGCGUAGGUGGUUUGUUAAGUUGGAUGUGAAAUCCCCGGGCUCAACCUGGGAACUGCAUUCAAAACUGACUGACUAGAGUAUGGUAGAGGGUGGUGGAAUUUCCUGUGUAGCGGUGAAAUGCGUAGAUAUAGGAAGGAACACCAGUGGCGAAGGCGACCACCUGGACUAAUACUGACACUGAGGUGCGAAAGCGUG
RNAcentral lists this ribosomal RNA (730 nucleotides) under uncultured bacterium. Its description in RNAcentral is "bacterial SSU rRNA". It matches the Rfam family "Bacterial small subunit ribosomal RNA", at positions 38 to 763 of the family's 1533-position model. The record is from RNAcentral.